UCUUUGUCCUUUGCAGCUAAGUUGUCACUGACAAUGAAGCCACCAAUUCAGAAAGAACUAUUUGCUAAUGAUAAAAUUGUCUUGCAAGCUGUUGUUUCUGGAGAUGUAAAAGAUACAGUGCAAGGUACUUCAGUAUCAUGUAAAGUGAAGGAUGAGCUUGUGCCCAAUGGGAAUAUCAAAACAGGGAAUGUUGAAUCUUCUGACACUUCACAAUUUAACAGAAUUCACGAUGACACUGUUGACACAGAGAAAUGGUUUGAUGGUCACGUGGUCACCUGCGCCAUCCGUGACACAAAUAAUAACAGAGACAUCGAGCAGGAGAUCAGUUUUCAAAAAGGAGAUGGAAAAGAGCCCACUGUUACCAUUUACAAACUUGAUAACAUCAAAGAUCAUAUCUCUCAUGUGUGUGAGGUCACCAGCCCUAAACUCGGUGAUGUCUAUGUAAUGUGGAAAGUGGGUAAUGAGUCUUACAGAGAGGGCACAACCAGUGCUCCCACCCAUCAAAAGGACUCCGCGUCUGUUCUCAGCAUCCUAACAAUGACAAAAGAAGAGUAUAAUGUCAUCACCUGUGCAGUGAUUCAUGCCAACAUGACCAAUAGAAGUUCUCCAUUACAAGUGUCAACAAGCAAAAGUAAACAAAGUUUCAUGAGAUUAAUGUGCAAGCGUUUCCAAACUAUCAUUGUUCAUCUGUUGUUCAGUUUUCCAGUGCUUUUGUCCUGUUGCUCUCUCAUCAGAUUAUCUAAAUUGUCACUGACAAUGAAGCCACCAAUUCAGAAAGAACUAUUUGCUAAUGAUAAAAUUGUCUUGCAAGCUGUUGUUUCUGGAGAUGUAAAAGAUACAGUGCAAGGUACUUCAGUAUCAUGUAAAGUGAAGGAUGAGCUUGUGCCCAAUGGGAAUAUCAAAACAGGGAAUGUUGAAUUUUCUUCUGACACUUCUCAAUUUAAAAAGAUUCACGAUGUCACUGUUGACACAGAGAAAUGGUUUGAUGGUCACGUGGUCACCUGCACCAUCCAUGACACGAAUAAUAACAGAGACAUCGAGCAGAAGAUCAGUUUUCAAAAAGGAGAUGGAAAAGAGCCCACUGUUACCAUUUACAAACCUGAUAAUGUCAAAGAUAAUAUCUCUCAUGUGUGUGAGGUCACCAGCCCUAAACUCGGUGAUGUCUAUGUAAUGUGGAAAGUGGGUAAUGAGUCUUACAGAGAGGGCACAACCAGUGCUCCCGCCCAUCAAAAGGACUCCACGUCUGUUCUCAGCAUCCUAACAAUGACAAAAGAAGAGUAUAAUGUCAUCACCUGUGCAGUGAUUCAUGCCAACAUGGCCAAUAGAAGAGCUCCAUUACAAGUGUCAACAAGCAAAACUAAAUUGUCACUGACAAUGAAGCCACCAAUUCAGAAAGAACUAUUUGCUAAUGAUAAAAUUGUCUUGCAAGCUGUUGUUUCUGGAGAUGUAAAAGAUACAGUGCAAGGUACUUCAGUAUCAUGUAAAGUGAAGGAUGAGCGUGUGCACAAUGGGAAUAUCAAAACAGGGAAUGUUGAAUUUUCUUCUGACACUUCUCAAUUUAAAAAAAUUCACGAUGUCACUGUUGACACAGAGAAAUGGUUUGACGGUCACGUGGUCACCUGCGCCAUCCGUGACACAAAUAAUAACAGAGACAUCGAGCAGAAGAUCAGUUUUCAAAAAGGAGAUGGAAAAGAGCCCACUGUUACCAUUUACAAACCUGAUAAUGUCAAAGAUAAUAUCUCUCAAGUGUGUGAGGUCACCAGCCCUAAACUCGGUGAUGUCUAUGUAAUGUGGAAAGUGGGUAAUGAGUCUUACAGAGAGGGCACAACCAGUGCUCCCACCCAUCAAAAGGACUCCGCGUCUGUUCUCAGCAUCCUAACAAUGACAAAAGAAGAGUAUGAAAAGCCCAGCACCACCAUCACCUGUGCAGUCAUUCAUGCCAAAACAGAAGAUUUAAGAGCUCCAUUACAAGUGUCAACUAGCAAAAGUGAGACGCCUGAGCCAGACACAGGCUUUGCUCUGGACUGCAAUAAAGAUGUUCUUGAGGAGGAUGAGUUCAGAAGUCUCUGGUCCACUGCCACCUCAUUCAUCUUUCUCUUCCUCUUCUCUCUGACCUACAGCGCUGUGCUCAGCUUCUUCAAGGUGAAGCAGUGAUGAUUUGUUAAAAGAACUUGUGAAGACCCCAAGGUUUCUUAUUUGUUCUGUGACAGUAAUUAAAUGUUGGUCGAAUGUAUUUAGGAACCAAAAAAGGAGAAUAAUCACUUCAUCUCUAUCUAUCUUUUGUUCUGUCCAUUCAUGUAUUUCUGUGCUUUUGUCUGAAAAACAUAUUGGCUUUCUGAGAUGUUGAAACUACAUAAUUUGCCUCUGUGCACCCAUUUGUGAAGACACUGACAAAUAUGUACACAUAUCAAUAAAGUCUUAUUAAAUCUCUGUCAAAA
Carassius gibelio (silver crucian carp) is the source of this 2438-nucleotide non-coding RNA. The record is from the annotation of a RefSeq genome assembly. NCBI's taxonomy places the organism in Eukaryota, Metazoa, Chordata, Actinopteri, Cypriniformes, Cyprinidae.